RNAcentral lists this ribosomal RNA (588 nucleotides) under uncultured bacterium. RNAcentral describes it as "partial 16S ribosomal RNA". It matches the Rfam family "Bacterial small subunit ribosomal RNA", at positions 355 to 1375 of the family's 1533-position model. The record is from RNAcentral.
UGGGGAAUUUUGGACAAUUGGGCGAAAGCCUGAUCCAGCAAUGCCGCGUGUGUGAAGAAGGCCUUCGGGUUGUAAAGCACUUUUGUCCGGAAAGAAAUCCUUGGCUCUAAUACAGUCGGGGGAUGACGGUACCGGAAGAAUAAGCACCGGCUAACUACGUGCCAGCAGCCGCGGUAAUACGUAGGGUGCAAGCGUUAAUCGGAAUUACUGGGCGUAAAGCGUGCGCAGGCGGUUUGCUAAGACCGAUGUGAAAUCCCCGGGCUCAACCUGGGAACUGCAUUGGUGACUGGCAGGCUAGAGUAUGGCAGAGGGGGGUAGAAUUCCACGUGUAGCAGUGAAAUGCGUAGAGAUGUGGAGGAAUACCGAUGGCGAAGGCAGCCCCCUGGGCCAAUACUGACGCUCAUGCACGAAAGCGUGGGGAGCAAACAGGAUUAGAUACCCUGGUAGUCCACGCCCUAAACGAUGUCAACUAGUUGUUGGGGGAUUCAUUUUCCUUAGUAACGUAGCUAACGCGUGAAGUUGACCGCCUGGGGAGUACGGUCGCAAGAUUAAAACUCAAAUGAAUUGACGGGGUCAUAGCUGUUUCCU